UACGGAGGGGGCAAGCGUUGUUCGGAAUUACUGGGCGUAAAGGGCGCGUAGGCGGGCGACUAAGUCAGAGGUGAAAGGCCUGGGCUCAACCUGGGAACUGCCUUUGAAACUAGUUGUCUAGAGUCCGGAAGAGGAUGGCGGAAUUCCCAGUGUAGAGGUGAAAUGCGUAGAUAUUGGGAAGAACACCAGUGGCGAAGGCGGCCAUCUGGUCCGGUACUGACGCUGAGGCGCGAAAGCGUGGGGAGCAAACAGG
Molecule: ribosomal RNA, 253 nt
Filed under: uncultured bacterium
Lineage: Bacteria
Description: partial 16S ribosomal RNA
Rfam family: Bacterial small subunit ribosomal RNA
Source: RNAcentral